RNAcentral lists this ribosomal RNA (442 nucleotides) under uncultured bacterium. RNAcentral's name for it is "partial 16S ribosomal RNA". It matches the Rfam family "Bacterial small subunit ribosomal RNA", at positions 338 to 795 of the family's 1533-position model. The record is from RNAcentral.
CCUACGGGUGGCAGCAGUGGGGAAUAUUGGGCAAUGGGCGCAAGCCUGACCCAGCAACGCCGCGUGAAGGAAGAAGGCUUUCGGGUUGUAAACUUCUUUUCUCAGGGACGAAGCAAGUGACGGUACCUGAGGAAUAAGCCACGGCUAACUCCGUGCCAGCAGCCGCGGUAAUACGGAGGAUGCGAGCGUUAUCCGGAUUUAUUGGGUUUAAAGGGUGCGUAGGCGGAGCGUUAAGUCAGUGGUCAAAUUGAGGGGCUCAACCCCUUCCCGCCAUUGAAACUGGCGCUCUUGAGUGGAAGAGAAGUAUGCGGAAUGCGUGGUGUAGCGGUGAAAUGCAUAGAUAUCACGCAGAACCCCGAUUGCGAAGGCAGCAUGCCGGCUUCCGACUGACGCUGAAGCACGAAAGCGUGGGGAUCGAACAGGAUUAGAUACCCCUGUAGUC